This 415-nucleotide ribosomal RNA is filed under the name uncultured bacterium. RNAcentral describes it as "bacterial SSU rRNA". It matches the Rfam family "Bacterial small subunit ribosomal RNA", at positions 355 to 773 of the family's 1533-position model. The record is from RNAcentral.
CAAGGAAUCUUCCGCAAUGGGGGCAACCCUGACGGAGCAACGCCGCGUGGGGGAUGACGCCCUUCGGGGUGUAAACCCCUUUUCUGCGGGAAGAAGGUGGGGCAACCCACUUGCCGGUACCGGAGGAAGAAGGACCGGCUAACUACGUGCCAGCAGCCGCGGUAAUACGUAGGGUCCGAGCGUUGUCCGGAGUUACUGGGCGUAAAGCGCGCGCAGGGGGCGGUGCUGGCCCGGCGUGAAAGCCCCCGGCUCAACCGGGGAGGGUCGUCGGGGACCGCACCGCUUGAGGGCGGUAGGGGCUGGUGGAAUGCCUGGUGUAGUGGUGAAAUGCGUAGAGAUCAGGCGGAACACCCGUGGCGAAGGCGGCCAGCUGGGCCGUCCCUGACGCUGAGGCGCGAAGGCGUGGGGAGCGAAC